Long non-coding RNA from Cotesia glomerata, 488 nucleotides. RefSeq lists it as uncharacterized. NCBI's taxonomy places the organism in Eukaryota, Metazoa, Arthropoda, Insecta, Hymenoptera, Braconidae. The record is from RefSeq and is a predicted model, not a curated record. The transcript has 2 exons.
UUGCAAGAGCAAAUAUUCUUUGAGCGCAUUUCAAUUAGCAUCUCCAUAUAAAUAUCCCCAGGAUACUUGAGAUGAUCAUUCUCAAUUGCCCAUCGUAGACUACCCUGAUUGUGUGGAGUAAAAACGUUCGCUUGUCAUAACUAGGUGCCAUUUUUCAUCGGUGUCGAGGCUAGAACGUUAGUACUGGAGCAAAGUCGUUUGUCGUUAUUAUUAUUGCAGUCGACGUACUGUUACAAGUGAUUCACCGAGCUUCGAAGUGUUAAUUAGUUGCAGAUACGAGGCUUGAGAAAACAAUCUUGAUGGCUGACCGCAAGCAAUCGACGUACAAAAAGACGUCUGAGCAAAAUAUGUCCAACUUGGUCAAAGCUUUUCGAAAGUUAAGUCCUACAAAACGUCAAUUCUUCGAGCUGUCUAAAUCGGAUUCAACAUCGUCAGUGUCAUCUGGAAGUAGCUUAGUUUCCAACUCUUCCGCAUCGAUUACCCCGCUG